RNAcentral lists this ribosomal RNA (179 nucleotides) under uncultured bacterium. Its description in RNAcentral is "partial 16S ribosomal RNA". It matches the Rfam family "Bacterial small subunit ribosomal RNA", at positions 1322 to 1500 of the family's 1533-position model. The record is from RNAcentral.
GAAGCUGGAAUUGCUAGUAAUGGCAGGUCAGCAUACUGCCGUGAAUACGUUCCCGGGCCUUGUACACACCGCCCGUCACACCAUGAGAGUUGGGAAUACCCGAAGCCCGUGAGCCAACUGAAAAGAGGCAGCGGUCGAAGGUAGAACUAAUGAUUGGGGUGAAGUCGUAACAAGGUACC